CAGGGAAUAUUGUGCAAUGAACGAAAGUUUGACACAGCGACACCGCGUGUGGGAUGACGGAUCUAGGUUUGUAAACCACUUUCAGGAGGGAAGAAAAUGACGGUACCUCCACAAGAAGCCCCGGCCAACUACGUGCCAGCAGCCGCGGUAAUACGUAGGGGGCGAGCGUUGUCCGGAUUUAUUGGGCGUAAAGAGCUCGUAGGCGGUUCAACAAGUCGGUCGUGAAAGUUCAGGGCUCAACCCUGAAAUGUCGAUCGAUACUGUUGUGACUAGGAUACGGCAGAGGUGAGUGGAAUUCCGAGUGUAGCGGUGAAAUGCGUAGAUAUUCGGAGGAACACCAAUUGCGAAGGCAGCUCACUGGGCCGCUAUCGACGCUGAGGAGCGAAAGCUAGGGGAGCAAACAGGAUUAGAUACCCUGGUAGUCCUAGCUGUAAACGAUGGAUACUAGAUGUAGGAAUUGGUUUAACGAUUUCUGUAUC
RNAcentral lists this ribosomal RNA (479 nucleotides) under uncultured Actinomycetes bacterium. RNAcentral describes it as "bacterial SSU rRNA". It matches the Rfam family "Bacterial small subunit ribosomal RNA", at positions 355 to 847 of the family's 1533-position model. Lineage: Bacteria; Bacillati; Actinomycetota; Actinomycetes. The record is from RNAcentral.